This 443-nucleotide ribosomal RNA is filed under the name uncultured bacterium. Its description in RNAcentral is "partial 16S ribosomal RNA". It matches the Rfam family "Bacterial small subunit ribosomal RNA", at positions 338 to 795 of the family's 1533-position model. The record is from RNAcentral.
CCUACGGGGUGCAGCAGUGGGGAAUAUUGGGCAAUGGAGGAAACUCUGACCCAGCAACGCCGCGUGAAUGAUGAAGGUCUUCGGAUUGUAAAGUUCUUUUCUAAGGGAAGAAGAAAGUGACGGUACCUUAGGAAUAAGCCUCCGCUAACUACGUGCCAGCCCCCGCUGUAAUACGUAGGAGGCAAGCGUUAUCCGGAAUGACUGGGCGUAAAGGGUGCGUAGGUGGUUUGACAAGUUGGUAGCGUAACUCCGAGGCUUAACCACGGAACUGCUACCAAAACUGUUGGACUCGAGUGCAGGCGGGGCAAAUGGAAUUCGUUGUGUAGCGGUGGAAUGCGUAGAUAUUAGGAGGAACACCAGUGGCGAAGGCGAUUUGCUGGACUGUAACUGACACUGAGGCACGAAAGCGUGGGGAGCAAACAGGAUUAGAUACCCUGGUAGUC